This 73-nucleotide transfer RNA is filed under the name Candidatus Woesearchaeota archaeon. Its description in RNAcentral is "tRNA-Pro". It matches the Rfam family "tRNA". Rfam says of the family: Transfer RNA (tRNA) molecules are approximately 80 nucleotides in length. Their secondary structure includes four short double-helical elements and three loops (D, anti-codon, and T loops). Lineage: Archaea; Nanobdellati; Candidatus Woesearchaeota. The record is from RNAcentral.
GGGGCCGUGGGGUAGCCUGGUAUCCUUCGAGGUUCGGGACCUCGUGACCCCGGUUCGAAUCCGGGCAGCCCCA